Molecule: long non-coding RNA, 1445 nt
Organism: Salvia splendens (bonfire salvia)
Lineage: Eukaryota; Viridiplantae; Streptophyta; Magnoliopsida; Lamiales; Lamiaceae
Exons: 3
Source: RefSeq, a predicted model, not a curated record
UCCUUUCUCCCAUCUUGAUUUCCCCCAAACAUGCAUCUCAAAUCCCUAAUUGAAACGGCGCCUUCUUUCCAUCUCUCACCUUCUCCGGCGACUUAAUGCCUGGAGUGACUCCGACCUCUCUUCGUUCCCGGCGAGGACGCCGUUUCGAAUGGGUCGCCGAAUCUCACGUUUCACAAUGACGGCGCACUUGGUGUCUCCGUCUGCCCUUUCACGGCGGCUUCGGUGUUGCCGUCGGAGCCUCGCUGGUGUGCUCUUCGCGAGGGAGUCACUCCGACGCCGAUGACCCGCUUCAGCUCCCUCCGUCCGUGUUCGCAAAUGCCGUUGCUGUUCCAUUCGUCUAUCUCUCUCUCUCUCGACGAAGGCGUCGGUCCGAAAUCGCCUGUCGACGUCCGCUGUUGCUCUGCAGUGUUCGUGGGGCUGCCCUCGAUGCCCCGUCGUCGUUCGGUCAGAGCCGAACAACGCUUCUCCAAGCUAAGUUCUAUCACUUUCUUUAUUUCGUUGAUUUGUGUCUGUAAACUUAAUCGUUCAUCUACUGAAAAGAGCUUGAUAGUUGGCCUAAAAUGUUGUUCUUUUAAUUACAGAGGCUUGCUGUUGUUGUGGGGCUUUUAUCAUCAUGCCUCUAAGUUCCGACCUAGUUAGGCUGCCUAAAGCUUACUAGUGCUCUAUCGGUGUUAUGCUCAUGCUUAGCUAUGAGAUGAUGGUGUUAUGAGCAUGCUAGGUUCAUCUAUGACUUUGUGAACUAUAUGCUGUAAAACUGAACUAUUGGAGGAUUACCUGUGUGAGUUGUUAUGGCUGCUGUCUCUAGCUCGGCUCCUCCCUUCUCCUUAGCUUGUAGUGUGCUAUUGAUUGUGGUAAUGAAGGAGGAAGGGCUGAGGGGCUAUUUAUAAUGGUUUGCCUAACUGAAAGCCUGAGGAAGGCUGGUGUACUUGGCUGAAAAGGGAAAUCUCAGGCUGAGCAGCUGGCUGCUCUGUCUGCAGCUCUGCAGAGUGCACUACAACAGACUGAUUCUCCAUAUCACAAUGGCAGAUAUGAGUGAAGUACGAGCUGUAAGGAUGCAGCCUUGCAGAGUGCAGCCACUGAGAUAAAAUUCUGUUGGCUGACUUGCUUCUCUCGGCCCAGCUCUCGCUCACUUUCGAGAAGAAGCCGAGGCUGCCCUUCCUCGUGGUCUCGUCCUCUCGGGCUCGUCUGCACUUUUGGGGCUGAGACGGCUCGCGUUAAAGGCCGAGGAAGUUCACUAUGGCCUCUCGGUUGUUGUAGCUCGAUGUGAGCUCUCUUUUGUUUGUCUCAACAAGAAUGUAGUAGCUCAUGUAGUUGGUGUGUAUUUAAUUUUAAACAUUUGAAAUUCAUUAGCUUUAGAAUUUCUGAAAUUUGUAUUAAUACUCUUAUUCAAGAUUUAAACAAUACCCCUUCGUUCUUUAAUAAAAUUCUAGCAUUUUAUUUCUUAA